GAUGAAGAACGUAGCGAAAUGCGAUAAGUAAUGUGAAUUGCAGAAUUCAGUGAAUCAUCGAAUCUUUGAACGCACCUUGCACCCUUUGGCAUUCCGAAGGGUAUGCUCGUUUGAGUGUCAUUGUACUCUCACACUCUCCGAUCCUAUGGAUUCGGGGAGCGGUGGACCUGGGUGUUGCUGCCUUUCCCUGUGGCUCACCUCAAAUGCGUCAGUGCACCUCUUGGUUGGACAUAGUACGGCGUGAUAAGUGUCUUCGCCGGCACCUCGCAAGAGGGUGGCCGAUCGGGAGCUCUGCGCUUUCAAACCGUCUUCGGACAAUUUCUGACAUCUUGACCUCAAAUCGAGUAGGACUACCCGCUGAACUUAAGCAUAUCAAUAAGCGGAGGA
Molecule: unclassified non-coding RNA, 387 nt
Filed under: soil metagenome
Description: partial contains 5.8S ribosomal RNA, internal transcribed spacer 2, and large subunit ribosomal RNA
Rfam family: 5.8S ribosomal RNA (bases 1-120)
Source: RNAcentral